This 75-nucleotide transfer RNA is filed under the name Rickettsia helvetica. Its description in RNAcentral is "tRNA-Ala(tgc)". It matches the Rfam family "tRNA". Rfam says of the family: Transfer RNA (tRNA) molecules are approximately 80 nucleotides in length. Their secondary structure includes four short double-helical elements and three loops (D, anti-codon, and T loops). Further hydrogen bonds mediate the characteristic L-shaped molecular structure. tRNAs have two regions of fundamental functional importance: the anti-codon, which is responsible for specific mRNA codon recognition, and the 3' end, to which the tRNAs corresponding amino acid is attached (by aminoacyl-tRNA synthetases). tRNAs cope with the degeneracy of the genetic code in two manners: having more than one tRNA (with a specific anti-codon) for a particular amino acid; and 'wobble' base-pairing, i.e. permitting non-standard base-pairing at the 3rd anti-codon position. RNAcentral also lists the same sequence under 23 other names. Lineage: Bacteria; Pseudomonadati; Pseudomonadota; Alphaproteobacteria; Rickettsiales; Rickettsiaceae. The record is from RNAcentral.
GGGGAUGUAGCUCAGGGGUAGAGCAUCUGCUUUGCACGCAGAGGGUCAAGGGUUCGAUUCCCUUCAUCUCCACCA